RNAcentral lists this ribosomal RNA (468 nucleotides) under uncultured bacterium. RNAcentral's name for it is "partial 16S ribosomal RNA". It matches the Rfam family "Bacterial small subunit ribosomal RNA", at positions 28 to 507 of the family's 1533-position model. The record is from RNAcentral.
GACGAACGCUGGCGGCGUGCUUAACACAUGCAAGUCGAACGGCAAGGCCCUGCUUUUGUGGGGUGCUCGAGUGGCGAACGGGUGAGUAACACGUGAGUAACCUGCCCUUGACUUUGGGAUAACUUCAGGAAACUGGGGCUAAUACCGUAUAGGAGCUCCUGCUGCAUGGUGGGGGUUGGAACGUUUCGGCGGUUGGGGAUGGACUCGCGGCUUAUCAGCUUGUUGGUGGGGUAGUGGCUUACCAAGGCUUGGACGGGUAGCCGGCCUGUGAGGGUGACCGGCCACAUUGGGACUGAGAUACGGCCCAGACUCCUACGGGAGGCAGCAGGGGGGAAUAUUGCACAAUGGGCGGAAGCCGGAUGCAGCAACGCCGCGUGCGGGAUGACGGCCUUCGGGUUGUAAACCGCUUUCGCCUGUGACGAAGCGUGAGUGACGGUAAUGGGUAAAGAAGCACCGGCUAACUACGUG